This 331-nucleotide non-coding RNA is filed under the name Clostridium sp. RNAcentral's name for it is "T-box sequence". It matches the Rfam family "T-box leader". From Rfam's summary of the family: Uncharged tRNA acts as the effector for transcription antitermination of genes in the T-box leader family. The record is from RNAcentral. Lineage: Bacteria; Bacillati; Bacillota; Clostridia; Eubacteriales; Clostridiaceae.
GUAAAUGCUGGGAAGAGGAAUAGUAGAGUGCAGGAACCAUCAGAGAGCUGCCGUGUGGUGCGAGGCAGUUGGGGAGCGCGUUUGAACUCGCCUUGGAGCAGCCUGCUGAAGGGAAGGCCGACAGAUUUGAUUUUUAUAUGAAUAUAAUCGGAGCCCUCCUGAGUAGGCAGAGCCGGAAGCCGCCCGUUAUGCGGUGAGGAGAAAAUGCCGUUUGAGUCUGCGCCUGGCCGUAUGAUUCAGGACAGCAGUCAGGCAGUUUCCCCCAUAAGAGCAUGCCCACGGCAUGAAAUAGAGUGGUACCGCGCGAGAGGAUAAGCCUUGCGUCUCUAUG